GAUGAACGCGGCGGCGUGCCUAAUACAUGCAAGUCGAGCGAGAAGCUUGGAAAUGACGCUUCGGUUGAUUUUCCAAGCGGACAGCGGCGGACGGGUGAGUAACGCGUAGGCAACCUGCCCCUGACAGAGGGAUAGCCAUUGGAAACGAUGAUUAAAACCUCAUGACACCGUAGUAGCACAUGCUACAUCGGUCAAAGAUUUAUCGGUCAGGGAUGGGCCUGCGUCUGAUUAACUGGUUGGUGAGGUAACGGCUCACCAAGGUGACGAUCAGUAGCCGACCUGAGAGGGUGAUCGGCCACAUUGGAACUGAGACACGGUCCAAACUUCUACGGAAGGCAGCAGUAGGGAAUCUUGCACAAUGGGCGAAAGCCUGAUGCAGCAACGCCGCGUGAAGGAUGAAGGCCUUCGGGUUGUAAACUUCUGUUCUAAGGGAAGAAAGAAAUGACGUACCUAGGAGCAGCC
Molecule: ribosomal RNA, 462 nt
Filed under: Mogibacterium timidum
Lineage: Bacteria; Bacillati; Bacillota; Clostridia; Peptostreptococcales; Anaerovoracaceae
Description: bacterial SSU rRNA
Rfam family: Bacterial small subunit ribosomal RNA
Source: RNAcentral